UUGAUACUCCCUCCGUCCCAAAAAUUUCUUGUCUUAGGUUUUUCUAGAUAUGAAUGUAUCUAGUCACGUUUUAUUAUUUUGAUACAUCCAUUUCUAGACAAAUCUAAGACAAGAAUUUUAGGACGGAGGGAGUACAAA
Non-coding RNA from Hordeum vulgare subsp. vulgare (domesticated barley), 138 nucleotides. Lineage: Eukaryota; Viridiplantae; Streptophyta; Magnoliopsida; Poales; Poaceae. The record is from Rfam.